Molecule: ribosomal RNA, 253 nt
Filed under: uncultured bacterium
Lineage: Bacteria
Description: partial 16S ribosomal RNA
Rfam family: Bacterial small subunit ribosomal RNA
Source: RNAcentral
UGCGAAGGGGGCGAGCGUUGUUCGGAUUUACUGGGCGUAAAGGGCGCGUAGGCGGCCCUCUUUGUCGCGUGUGAAAGCCCCGGGCUCAACCUGGGAAUGGCGCGCGAAACGGGGGGGCUUGAGUUCGGGAGAGGAGCGUGGAAUUCCCAGUGUAGAGGUGAAAUUCGUAGAUAUUGGGAAGAACACCGGUGGCGAAGGCGGCGCUCUGGACCGAGACUGACGCUGAGGCGCGAAAGCGUGGGGAGCAAACAGG